This 742-nucleotide long non-coding RNA is filed under the name Mus musculus (house mouse). RNAcentral describes it as "predicted gene 10308". The record is from RNAcentral. Lineage: Eukaryota; Metazoa; Chordata; Mammalia; Rodentia; Muridae.
GAAGUCGCAGAAGCCCUCGUCGUCGAAGUAGAGCACGAGGCCGCGGGCACUGCGCGUCUUCAGCUGGAAGCUCAUCUCGCUCUCGCAGCACGCGUUCCACUUGGGGAAGCGCGUCCACUGGCCCUCGGCGCCCGGGAACUCCAGCCCGCUGCCCAGCUCUGCCCAGCAGCCCAGCAGCAGCAGCGACAGGCAGAGGAGACAGCAGCCCCCGCGCUGGACCAGCGCCGUCCCCAUGCUCGGGGCUGGGCAGCCCCUUCCUCUCUCCCAGUAGUCUCCUUCCAACUGGAAAGCGGAGACCCCAGUCCUAUGGGAUAGCUGCAGAACUUCCAGGCCAAAGGGGGGAUACACUUUGGAGGCAACGUUCUGAAAAAGAGGGCCACCGAGGCUCAAGAGCGAUCACUGAUCCAUUUGCAUCCGAUGAUGUUUAAGUGAGGGCAUCUGUGGCACCAACAGGUACUUCAACUAUCCCAGGACCAAAACCUUCAAAGUACCACCGGCGCGGUGCCAGCAGUAGGAGAGCAGAAUCGGAAGAAACACACUUUUCUCGGAGAGGAACACGAAGUCAACACUGAGCCAGGAUCUUUGGCUGCUUGGCAGGCCUCGAGGCCCCUCCAGAUGUUGGCUCCAAGCACAGAAGGAGAAAGGACAGAGUGAGACACCAGAAUAGCUUCAGAGGCCUACUUCUGUCAUAUCAUGGGCUUCCAGCACCACUAAAGCCAAGGCCAAAUUUCCUGUGCAUGCC